CUGCACUUUAGCCACAAUAACCCCAGGCAACGCUACAGGCUUGGGGCAGAGUGGCUGGAAGACUGUGUAGAGGAAGUGGACCUGGGCGUGUUGAUUGCCACUAGACUGAACAUGAGCCAGCAGUGUGCCCAGGUGUAAAGGGCAGGGAGAACAAUUACUGAAACGUGCUUCUACAAGGCAGAGCAGAGCACAAGAGGCUAGACAGAGCAUUUCAUUGUCUGAUUACAUCUAUUGAUGGGCUUACAGUGGAUCUGAUUUUAACAGCGAGGAGCAGCCUAUUGAUCCACACUCCAGUCCUUUGAUUUCAGAUGGACCAUUCUUGGGACUGGAGCCAGUGAACCUUGAAUCAGUCACCUCUCCUGGACUCCUUCUUCUGAAGAUUCUCUCCCAUGGAAUUUACCUGAGGAUUUUCCUGAACAGGCCAAAGUCUUUUCUCCUGAAGUCCAAGGCUGUAGUCCUGCUUUUUGCCUUCUCCCUCCUUGGUGGUUCCUGAACUCCACUAUUUCAUGUUCACUGCAUUCUAGGGUGCCUCUGACUUUCACAUACAUUACCCAUUCUUCCUUGUUUAUAUGUAGGAUGUCUAUCAGAUUGUCUCCCAUUUUUGACAUCUUAAUCACUCACAUCAGGAAUCAAUAUACUCCAGAAACCAACUGGACUGUUUGUCCACAGCUGUGUUGUCCCUCCAAAAUUAGCAAGUUGUGCUUAACCUCUAGGUCAUCCAAACUGAGUUUAAAAUGGGGCAGUAGUUUAAUUUUAAUGGAUAAAUAAUUUAGUCCAUCAGGGUAGAAAAGGUUAAGAACCAUUUUCUCAACUGUAACUGCAUUCACACCUGUGAUGUAAAUUUGUUGUGGUACUAAGUUUCAGAUUGCACCAGAGCAAUAGUAAUGAGAUAUGUGAUAUAAUCAUGUAGUUUUAAGCAUUUGAAUAAAGUACGCAAUUU
Long non-coding RNA from Gallus gallus (chicken), 940 nucleotides. NCBI's taxonomy places the organism in Eukaryota, Metazoa, Chordata, Aves, Galliformes, Phasianidae. The record is from Ensembl.